AAGUCGAACGAACCCUUCGGGGUUAGUGGCGCACGGGUGCGUAACGCGUGGGAAUCUGCCCUUUGCUUCGGAAUAACAGUUAGAAAUGACUGCUAAUACCGGAUGAUGUCUUCGGACCAAAGAUUUAUCGGCAAAGGAUGAGCCCGCGUAGGAUUAGGUAGUUGGUGGGGUAAAGGCCUACCAAGCCGACGAUCCUUAGCUGGUCUGAGAGGAUGAUCAGCCACACUGGGACUGAGACACGGCCCAGACUCCUACGGGAGGCAGCAGUGGGGAAUAUUGGACAAUGGGCGAAAGCCUGAUCCAGCAAUGCCGCGUGAGUGAUGAAGGCCUUAGGGUCGUAAAGCUCUUUUACCCGGGAUGAUAAUGACAGUACCGGGAGAAUAAGCCCCGGCUAACUCCGUGCCAGCAGCCGCGGUAAUACGGAGGGGGCUAGCGUUGUUCGGAAUUACUGGGCGUAAAGCGUACGUAGGCGGUUAUUCAAGUCAGAGGUGAAAGCCCGGGGCUCAACCCCGGAACGGCCUUUGAAACUAGGUAGCUAGAGUCUUGGAGAGGUCAGUGGAAUUCCGAGUGUAGAGGUGAAAUUCGUAGAUAUUCGGAAGAACACCAGUGGCGAAGGCGACUGACUGGACAAGUACUGACGCUGAGGU
This 647-nucleotide ribosomal RNA is filed under the name uncultured Alphaproteobacteria bacterium. RNAcentral's name for it is "bacterial SSU rRNA". It matches the Rfam family "Bacterial small subunit ribosomal RNA", at positions 59 to 752 of the family's 1533-position model. The record is from RNAcentral. Lineage: Bacteria; Pseudomonadati; Pseudomonadota; Alphaproteobacteria.